CCUGCACCCGUACCUACUCCUCGGGUGGGAGCAGCUCGUGUCUGGCAAAUGCCUGCACCCGUUUCUAUGUCCACUGUAAACUCAAGCGAGUCUGUCCAGCCAUAUUCUUCAUGUUCAGAAGCCUCAGAAGACUUAGUUCAGCCAUUGUCACAACCACCAUCACUACUGCAUACAUUUCAGUCUAUAGCUCAAUCAUUAGCUCUGUUGGCAGCCCAGUCCAUAGUUCAAUUUCCUGUGUUACCGUUAGCUCAGCCCUUAGCCCACUGUGUAGCUCAGCCAGCUCCCCAGUGUUUAGCUCAGUCACCUACACCACCCGCUACUCUCUCACCACAACCAUCAUUACAGCCACUAGGUCAGUCUCCAGUGCAGCCAUCAUUACAGCCACUAGGUCUGUCUCCAGUGCAGCCAUCAUUACAGCCACUAGGUCAGUCUCCAGUGCAGCCAUCAUUACAGCCACUAGCUCAGUCUCCUGUGUCCCCGCUAGCUCAGUCAUCUACCCAACCACCCACUCCACUCUCACCACAACCGUUACUACAGCCACUAGUUCAGUGUCCAGUGUCACCUGCAGUGCAGUCCCCAGCUCAACUGCCUUUUGUUCACUCUCCUGCCCAGGUGCCACUAGCUCAGUCUCCUAAACCUCCAGUUCAGUCUUCCGUUCAGUCCGCUGUGCCAGUUCAGUCCCUUCGUCUGCUGCACACUCACCCACCUGGUCGUUUACACAUUCAGCCAGGGGUCCCAAUUACCUCUGGCCCUACAUCAGCUCCUGCUGGAGGCUCGGGUGAGCACAUCCAGCACUCUGCGGCUCCCACGCCGCCAUCCGUCUCCGCUGGAGGGUCCGAGGGGCCCGUUCAGCAUCCUGUCUCCGCUGGAGGGUCCGAGGGGCCCGUUCAGCAAUCUGUCUCCGCUGGAGGGUCCG
Molecule: long non-coding RNA, 916 nt
Organism: Oreochromis aureus
Lineage: Eukaryota; Metazoa; Chordata; Actinopteri; Cichliformes; Cichlidae
Source: Ensembl